GCCACGUCUGCCCGUGAUCCUCUUCACUCUCUCUCACUCGGUGGCUACCAUGGCGUACAGACGUCUUCAGCUUGUUGAGGCAUUGUUGGGAAUGUGGUGGUGCUGCUGCUGCAGGUGUGGAAGGAGCAGCCGGUGUUGAACAAAGUGUGUGAGGACUUGAGGGUGUGCAGCAUAGCAUUGCUUCAUGAGCAGCCGUUGUUGAAGUGUGUGAGGAGCUGAGGGUGUGUAGCAUAGCAUUUCUUCAUAAUGUCUAAACAGCAGGUGGUGUUGAACAGUGUGUGAGGAGCAUACCAUGGCUUCAUGAGCAGCUGGUGUUGAACAAAGUGUGUGAGGACCUGAGGGUGUGCAGUAUAGCAUUGCUUCAUAAUGUUUAAGCAGCAGGUGGUGUUGAACAAAGUGUGCGAGGAGCUGAGGGUGUGCAGCAUAGCAUGGCUUCAUGCGAGGUGAAAUAAAUACUCUGGGGGCCGAUGAUCCUUUUCCUAGCACUGAGGAUGACCUGGUGUGGGGACAAGCAAGGAUCCAUAUGCCUCACAUUCCUGGUCAGAGUAGGAGUUUGAGAAGUUAACUGUAAAUGGGAAGAUGAAAGAUUCCUGAUGAGAAUGGAACCUUUACACGCUGAAAGAGGAAGAUAGGUUUUCAUAUUUGCUGAUUGGUUCAAGUAGGAUGCGUUGCCUGGUGUGUUUGAGAUUGUGUAUAGGAGAAAGAAGCAGCAGCAGCAUGGCAGGUUUAUUUUGCUUUGGAGCUGGAAAUCACACUGGAAAUGAAUGAAGGUUUUUGGACUCGGAAUGAACUGAUUGUCUAGAGCAAGAUGAGUGUUGCUUCAUUGUUUCAGACUAGACCUCAAGAUACGGAAGUUGAAUUUCCCAGUGAAAAGUAGUGUUAAAUAGGUGGAUUGUGGAAGAUUACACAGAUGAGAGGAUGCAGUCUUGUCAUAACUGGUGUAUUUGCAGCAAUGGACUCCUCAUGAAACUCCCAAUUGAUUGGAGAGAUUGGAGAAUGCUGAGGUGCUGACAGAUGUGGAGAGAUAUUGAGAUGAUGUGUGCCAACAUGCCUGAUGGACAGCACUCCUGACUUCUGUUAUGGCAGUCAGUAGCAGAACAAUGUUGGAGAGGUCCCUGAUCCACAGUGGUGACUUAACAGGUAUGUAUUUUAUUUUAAGUAAGAUGUGCAAUAAUGAGACUUGUGAUACUUAUCAUUGUUCUGUUUUUAAAAUAUCUAUUUAUUGAUGGCCUUGUAUCACAAGAAGUCUUGUUACAUUUUGGCCAAGAAUUGAAGGCAAGCUGCUGUGUGCUUUGCCAAUCACAGCUGCCAGUUAAUUGGAAAUAGAUAUUUUCAGCCAUUUAGCUAUUUUAUCCAUGGUAUCAUGUAUUUUGCACAUACUUUCAUGCAUGCAAAAUUAAAUAGAUGUUAUAUCAAUGUUGCCAAGAUCUUGGCAAAGUUGGGAAGUUUGUUAUCUGUGAAAGCAACAAUAAAACAUAUUGCAUUUU
Scylla paramamosain (green mud crab) is the source of this 1487-nucleotide long non-coding RNA. RefSeq lists it as uncharacterized. NCBI's taxonomy places the organism in Eukaryota, Metazoa, Arthropoda, Malacostraca, Decapoda, Portunidae. The transcript is spliced from 19 exons. The record is from RefSeq and is a predicted model, not a curated record.